This 439-nucleotide ribosomal RNA is filed under the name uncultured bacterium. RNAcentral describes it as "partial 16S ribosomal RNA". It matches the Rfam family "Bacterial small subunit ribosomal RNA", at positions 338 to 795 of the family's 1533-position model. The record is from RNAcentral.
CCUACGGGUGGCAGCAGUGGGGGAUAUUGCACAAUGGGGGAAACCCUGAUGCAGCGACGCCGCGUGGGUGAAGAAGCGCCUCGGCGCGUAAAGCCCUGUCAGCAGGGAAGAAAAUGACGGUACCUGAAGAAGAAGCCCCGGCUAACUACGUGCCAGCAGCCGCGGAAAUACGUAGGGGGCAAGCGUUAUCCGGAUUUACUGGGUGUAAAGGGGGCGCAGACGGCGAGGCAAGCCGGGAGUGAAAGCCCGGGGCCCAACCCCGGGACUGCUCUUGGAACUGCGUGGCUAGAGUGCAGGAGGGGAGGGUGGAAUUCCGGGUGUGGCGGUGAAAUGGGUAGAUAUCAGGGGGAACACCGGUGGCGAGGGCGGCCGGCGGGACGGCAACUGACGUGGGGGCCGGAAAGCGUGGGAGGCAAACAGGAUAGAUACCCUGGUAGUC